UGAGUCGGUUGGGUGGCCGCGGCACGGCGGGCAACUGACCGUGUCGAGGAAGGUCGGGACUCCACAGGGCAGGGUGCUGGAGAGAGACCAGUCGGGGCGAUCCGCAGGAAAGUGCCACAGAAAAGAACCGCCGAUGGCGAGCGCAAGCCCGCACAGGCAAGGGUGAAAAGGUGCGGUAAGAGCGCACCAGCGCACAGGGUGACCUGAGCGGCUGGGUAAACCCCACUCGGAGCAAGGCCAAACGUGGGACGGGCUGCCCGUCCAAUGUCCCCAGGUAGGCCGCACAGAUGGAUGGCCACCCAGGCGCUUCGGCGCUGGACAGAAUCCCGCCUACAGACCGACUCACCAU
This 349-nucleotide RNase P RNA is filed under the name Actinomycetota bacterium. RNAcentral's name for it is "Actinobacteria bacterium RNase P RNA component class A". It matches the Rfam family "Bacterial RNase P class A". Rfam says of the family: Ribonuclease P (RNase P) is a ubiquitous endoribonuclease, found in archaea, bacteria and eukarya as well as chloroplasts and mitochondria. Its best characterised activity is the generation of mature 5'-ends of tRNAs by cleaving the 5'-leader elements of precursor-tRNAs. Cellular RNase Ps are ribonucleoproteins. Lineage: Bacteria; Bacillati; Actinomycetota. The record is from RNAcentral.